Small nucleolar RNA from Plutella xylostella (diamondback moth), 76 nucleotides. RefSeq annotates it as small nucleolar RNA U43. The record is from RefSeq and is a predicted model, not a curated record. Lineage: Eukaryota; Metazoa; Arthropoda; Insecta; Lepidoptera; Plutellidae.
AUGAUGAGUCAACUCAUACAAUUAUUCGGUUAGAACCUGAAUGUUAUGUGAAGAUUAUCUAGGGCGGACUGAUGUU